GAGUUUGAUCCUGGCUCAGGACGAACGCUGGCGGCGUGCCUAACACAUGCAAGUCGAACGGAGAUAUGAUUUCGGUUGUAUCUUAGUGGCGAACGGGUGAGUAACGCGUGAGCAACCUGACCUUCAGAGGGGGAUAACACUCGGAAACGAGUGCUAAUACCGCAUAAGACCACGACCCGACAUCGGGAUGAGGUCAAAGGAGCAAUCCGCUGAGGGAGGGGCUCGCGUCCCAUUAGAUAGAUGGCGGGGUAACGGCCCACCAUGUCGACGAUGGGUAGCCGAGCUGAGAGGCUGAUCGGCCACACUGGAACUGAGACACGGUCCAGACUCCUACGGGAGGCAGCAGUGGGGAAUAUUGGGCAAUGGGCGCAAGCCUGACCCAGCAACGCCGCGUGAGGGAAGAAGGCUUUCGGGUUGUAAACCUCUGUCCUUGGUGACGAAAAAAAUGACGGUAGCCAAGGAGGAAGCCCCGGCUAACUACGUGCCAGCAGCCGCGGUAAUACGUAGGGGGCGAGCGUUGUCCGGAAUUACUGGGCGUAAAGGGUGCGUAGGUGGCCUUUUAAGUUGGAUGUGAAAUCCCCGGGCUUAACUUGGGUGGUGCAUCUAAUACUGGAGGGCUAGAGUGCAGGAGAGGGAAGCGGAAUUCCUAGUGUAGCGGUGAAAUGCGUAGAUAUUAGGAGGAACACCAGUGGCGAAGGCGGCUUUCUGGACUGGUACUGACACUGANGCACGAAAGCGAGGGGAGCAAACAGGAUUAGAUACCCUGGUAGUCCACGCGGUAAACGAUGAAUACUAGGUGUAAGGGGUAUCAACUCCCCCUGUGCCGGAGCUAACGCAAUAAGUAUUCCGCCUGGGGAGUACGGCCGCAAGGUUGAAACUCAAAGGAAUUGACGG
RNAcentral lists this ribosomal RNA (894 nucleotides) under uncultured bacterium. RNAcentral describes it as "bacterial SSU rRNA". It matches the Rfam family "Bacterial small subunit ribosomal RNA", at positions 9 to 916 of the family's 1533-position model. The record is from RNAcentral.